This 1363-nucleotide ribosomal RNA is filed under the name uncultured bacterium. RNAcentral's name for it is "bacterial SSU rRNA". It matches the Rfam family "Bacterial small subunit ribosomal RNA", at positions 28 to 1381 of the family's 1533-position model. The record is from RNAcentral.
AUUGAACGCUGGCGGCAUGCCUUACACAUGCAAGUCGAACGGAAACAUGGAGAGCUUGCUCUCUGAUGGCGAGUGGCGAACGGGUGAGUAAUGCAUCGGAACGCACCGUGUAAUGGGGGAUAACGUACCGAAAGUUACGCUAAUACCGCAUACGGCCGGAGGGUGAAAGCAGGGGAUCGCAAGACCUUGCGUUAUACGAACGGCCGAUGUCAUAUUAGCUAGUUGGGGAGGUAAAUGCUCACCCAGGCGACGAUCUGUACCGGGUCUGAGAGGAUGAUCCGCCACACUGGGACUGAUACACAGCCCACACUCCUACGGGAGGCAGCAGUGGGGAAUUUUGGACAAUGGGGGCAACCCUGAUCCAGCCAUGCCGCGUGAGUGAAGAAGGCCUUCGGGGUGUAAGGCUCUUUCGGCCCGGAAGAAAUCGCACAAGCCUAAUACUCUGUGUGGAUGACGGUACCGGCAUAACAAGCACCGGCAUAACUACGUGCCAGCAGCCGCGGCAAUACGUAGGGUGCGAGCGUUAAUCGCAAUUACUGGGCGUAAAGCGUGCGCAGGCGGUUAGAUAAGUUUGAUGUGAAAUCCCCGGGCUCAACCUGGGAACUGCAUUGAAGACUGUCUGACUAGAGUACGGCAGAGGGGGGUGGAAUUCCACGUGUAGCAGUGAAAUGCGUAGAGAUGUGGAGGAACACCGAUGGCGAAGGCAGCCCCCUGGGUCGAUACUGACGCUCAUGCACGAAAGCGUGGGGAGCAAACAGGAUUAGAUACCCUGGUAGUCCACGCCCUAAACGAUGUCAACUAGUUGUUGGUAGGGUUAAACCUAUUAGUAACGUAGCUAACGCGUGAAGUUGACCGCCUGGGGAGUACGGUCGCAAGAUUAAAACUCAAAGGAAUUGACGGGGACCCGCACAAGCGGUGGAUGAUGUGGAUUAAUUCGAUGCAACGCGAAAAACCUUACCUACCCUUGACAUGUCAGGAAUCCCGAAGAGAUUUGGGAGUGCCGCAAGGAACCUGAACACAGGUGCUGCAUGGCUGUCGUCAGCUCGUGUCGUGAGAUGUUGGGUUAAGUCCCGCAACGAGCGCAACCCUUGUCAUUAGUUGCCAUCAUUUAGUUGGGCACUCUAAUGAGACUGCCGGUGACAAACCGGAGGAAGGUGGGGAUGACGUCAAGUCCUCAUGGCCCUUAUGGGUAGGGCUUCACACGUCAUACAAUGGUCGGUACAGAGGGUUGCCAACCCGCGAGGGGGAGCCAAUCCCAGAAAGCCGAUCGUAGUCCGGAUCGUAGUCUGCAACUCGACUACGUGAAGUCGGAAUCGCUAGUAAUCGCGGAUCAGAAUGCCGCGGUGAAUACGUUCCCGGGUCU